This 5590-nucleotide long non-coding RNA is filed under the name Sorghum bicolor (sorghum). RNAcentral describes it as "long non-coding RNA (SBIC_LNC001844)". The record is from RNAcentral. Lineage: Eukaryota; Viridiplantae; Streptophyta; Magnoliopsida; Poales; Poaceae.
ACUUAAAACUUACUUACUUUACCUUUCACCAUGGGACUUGUAACCGUCACUUCUGUCUUGAGUGGUUAAAAGAUAGAACAGUCCCGUCAAGUGCCAUGUCUCUUAUUCUUGAUCAGCUAUAGCUCUGGAAUUUUUGUAGAUUUUCAAAUAAAACUCAGAGAUUCCUUUGUAUGACUCUCUCAUAUCUCUCUUUUGUGGUAUUUCUGGAUCCUUACCAAGGCAGUGAUGGUAUAUGCCUUCUCUCAAAAUAUGUGGUAUUUGUGGUAUAAGGCAUAGUGACAUUGCCUUCUCUCUCACCCUACUCUAAUAAGGCUUUAAUAUCUGGAGCUUAUAGGUGGGAGAUAAAGUAUACAUACUUACAAGACAUUUAUUGUAUAGUCAAACCAUGGAUCCAAAGAAACAAAUCAAUAAGCCAAAUCAAGAUGUGCAUGUGUGGCGAAUGAAUGGUGUAUAGUGAUGAUGGUGAUAACAAUGGUGAAAGUCUAAUUCUACUUUUGCUCUUAUGAGGGGAUACAUACCUUCCUUGCUUUUUGAAACUUUAUGAGGAGAAUGAGAUGCUCUUCUUUUUCUUUCCUCUCAGGUGGGUAUCUUGUACCCCUAAUUCUACCGUCGGACAUUUGUCCAUUUUUACCUCUCGUCUCACUUUUUCUUUCUUUCGAGGUUCCGGGCACUUGCCCCUUUUUAUUUCCUCGUUUAUUAUUAUUAUUUUUUCUUUUCUUCUCUUUUCUUUUUUUUUCAGAGCACUCAUCUCCUGAAAUAAUGUAGCAAGUGGUAGUAACCAAAAUAACUGGAGCAUUUAUUUCACAGCGAAUAACAGGGAUAGGAAAAUGUUUUUGGCUAUUCUCUCCCGGAUUAGGAGUAGAAUGAUUUUGGGUGAAACUGGAGAUGGAAAUGGAUGGAUAUAUGUGGAUGGUACUUCCGGAGUAGAAGUAGCAUAUAUGAGUGAACGUGCAAGUGAAUCUUGAUUUAACCACAUGACAAGCUCCUAAGGGUCUACACAGCUUGACCACACUCAAUGCUCAUAAGCAGUAAAUAAAUGUGUGGCUCAAAGUCUAGCAAGCAUGUAUAUAUGGCUGUGGUAGGAAUUUAAACUUUCAUCAUACAGGAACUCAUCAUGCAACAUUUUAAAGAUUUUCAAAGAUAAAAUUCUCCAGAAUUCUAGCAUCUCUAGGAACAGAUAAACAGCAGCUCAAUCUUCCCAUAUCUUAUCCGUUAACAACUUAGAUUUCAGAUCAAGUUUUCAUCCCACAAGUUUAAAUCUAGAGCAAGCUUUAUAUUAUAACAGUUAUGUCUAAACUUGAGAGAGAACUUCAAAUUAGGCAGAGCAACUAUUCAUCAUAUCCAUGCUAGAGUUUUAUUAUUAAGAUUCAUAGCAAACUUUAUUUAUUUAUUUAUUUAUUUAUUUAUUUAGCAAACUAAAAAAAGAUAUAUAUAUAUAUAAGCAUAAAAUCUUUAUUUGGUUUUUCAUAGUUUAUGUAUUUUAAUAUUCUAAUAUAAUAUAAGUAUAAAGAUAGGUAGAAAUACUUAGCGAGAUAAAUAGGGGUGCUCUCCCCUAAGCUGAAUUUUGACGUAAUUUCUCUUGAUGUAGCUAGCAGGUGGCAAAGGUGUAUUUGAAAGUCAGCAGCAUUCUGACAGCGAUUAGAAUGUCCUCCGUCUGCUAGUCUUCUUGAUUCUUAAAUUCUGUGGAGCUCAAAUAGACAACAAAGCUUGUGGAACUAAUUAAGUGUUAGCAUAAAUAUCUAGUCUUCAUCACGUUGAGCUUCCUCAAUAAAUAUUACUCCCUGUUUUUAUAUUUUUAUUUUAUAAAGUAAAAAAGAAAUAUUUAUUUUAUUUUUAUGCCACCACAGUGAAGGUACUUAUGGGUUUUAUGCCACUCGUAUACUCACAUGGGGCUUAGUAUUUUUUUUAACAUUUUUAUUUUCUUUUCAAGAUAGCAUGAUUAACUAAUAAUCUAUUUAAGGCAAGUAAAUAAUUAAAGGGAAAAGGGAAUGCAGAAAGGAUAAAUAUGGAUAACUACCCAUCUUACCUUUCGGCGAGGGUUCAAUGUUUUAAGUCUUCUUGACAAGACUUCUCACCGUGUUCAUUCUUCAGGUGCGUCAUUUGAUUCAGGUGCGGACCUUGACGUCUGCACCUUUUAAUACGGGUCACCCAUGUUCUUCGUUUGCCCAGCAGUUCGAAGUGAGGUGUUAGCAGUAUCUUGCUCAGUGUGUUUGUGCUCGUAGUGUACCUGCUCAUAGAGACAAGGCAGAGAUCAAGUGCAUGGGCCCUGUUGGUGGAAAACACCAACAGAACCAAAAGUGUAUUUGUUCUUCUCUAACCUUAAGCAUAGUGAGCAAGACAAAGUUGAUGGAUGAUAAGUUCAUGAGUGUAGCACUUAUAACAUUUGUCAGAUUAGAUCGCUCAACCUUAUGGAAAGAUAAUCUAUCCAUGUAUAUAUCUAUUUCUUUAUAUCUCUCAAUGAUUGAAUAUGUAACAUUUUAGCUCAUAUGAUUAGGAGUGUGGGAUCAUGGAGGUAGUACUAAGAACAAGGAUUAAAGGACUAAACAUGUUGAAUCAGUUGGGUUGGUUAAUCUAGAGUUUAAAUCAUACACGUUUGUCUCUUUUAUUUAUAUGAACGCCAAAACCAAGGAGAAGCUUAUAAAAGUGAUAGUCAAAUAUCUUAGGAUGUUACCUUGCUUGAAAAGUGAUGGUACAGUAUCACCUUGUGGAAGCUUUCCUUUCUUAGCGGUUGUGCAUCGUGUUCGUGGCACCCUCCAUGGAUCAUCUCUCUAUGAUGAAUGAGCUAUGUCCUUCUUGUGCAAAUUGUUAAACUUCAUGUGUCACUCUCUUCGUCUCUGAUGUGAGUUUAUCUCAGGACUUCCCAAAUCGAUAUUGAAAGUUUUUCUCCAGGGGUUAGUCCGACAAAAUAUACCAAUAUCUACUCAAGCAAUUUUUUUAGUUCAAUAACCAAACUAGACUCCAUGUCUAAUCAGAUUAAGAAAGGCUAUUUAACCUAAGCACCAUGCUUAAUUUAAAUGCCAAUGGAAGUAUGGCGAGUACUUCCAAACCAACACUUGCUAGUAAAUAGACAAAGGUAGCAUGACUGCAUUUAUAGAGAUCUACUCAAGUGGAGAUGAAGUAGUGUGAUUAGUAUUUAACAAAUUGAGCAUGUCUCAAAGGUAGGGACUGUUGGGUAUUUUUAACAUCAUUACCAAAAGUAGACUAAGUUCUCUAAAUCUAGCAACGGUGCCAAAAAUGCCAAACCUAUCCCUUACACCACUUAAGCCAAGUUGUCAUCCCCAGCAUGAUAUAAGAGACGCGGUAUUGAAAUAUGCAAUUGCUCUUCUAAAUAAAUAAUGAAUGGGAUUUGCAAGCGCACAGAUUAAUACCGAUGCAGCAUUUUAACCGGGAAGUAUUCCAGGUAUCGUUAUUUAUAUUUUUACCACUGGGAAGGGAUUAGAAAUCAUCACUAUCGAUUACAGAAUAGAAUAUGAGAUUGAGCAUCUAUCAUUGCAUGUAUAAUUGAGAACAUUAUAUCUAACUCUUCAUACAGGGAUAAGUGUCACAUAAAAGAUAUAUGAAAUAAUAAUAGUGACAAGGAUAACUAAUCUGAUCUAGCCACAUAAUAAAUAUGAUAAGCACCUCAAUUAGAUACUCUAGAAAGUCAUUAGCAUGGUAUUAGAACGAACUACAAGAAUAUUCCCUAAGUUAUUCUCAACUAUAUAGUCUAGCAUUAUCAUAGUUAGUGCAAGCAUACUUAGCAAUCAUUGCGAGAUAAGACUACGCCCAUGCAUAGUGAUAUUAGCAAGGAAUAUGAGAAACAUAGCAAUCACUCCCCUGUAAUAAUGUUGCUCUGCCAGCCCAAUACACGAGAGGGGGACUAUAUAAGAAUCAAUGAAGCUGUCACUAUCACGAACUACCCCACGAUCUGGCAUAUUGGGUACAAUCGCAGAUAAAUACGGUAUAAGCACCACGCCUACACAAUAUCUAUCAUUUACCCAUGGAUCCGAUGGAUAAACGCUAUACGAUCCUAAGCAUGUAUAUAGAUCCAAUCUAACUAAGCCAAGUACAUAACUAUGAUAAACUAAGAACAAUAUCAUCUUGAAUAUAAGCAAGUAGAGCAAAGUCAUAAGCAAUAUAUUGAAGUAGAACAAAGUCAUAUUCAUAAUAUUGAAGAACAAAGAUAAUUAGAAAGUAAUUAGAAGCACAAUUAGAAGAUUACCAAGAAUCCUCCUGACAGAUCCGGAAACCAAUCGAAGAUUGACUCCUUCUAGUUCUAAUCCUAUGUAGCUAUGCUAAUCUAGAUAUCUAAUUGAUGUGGUGGCUCUAAUCUUGAUCAGAGGCUUCUUCUCCCUUGAUGGAACAAUGAAUUAGGGUUGAGAGGCUCUCUCCUCCAGGGGCCAGGGGGUCUGGUUUUAUAGUCCCUUCAAGUGAAUAUGGGCCCUUGGAUCAAACCGACAUAGAUUGUAUGGUUUAGAUUCAUCCUUUAGGUCAGUGGAGAUCUCCCGCAAAGCAGAGUCCUGAUUGGACUCACGGGCAGGGCGGGCGCCCUGACCAACUGGGCGGCCGCCCAGGGUCUGGCCCCGUUUCGCCUCCGCUUCGGUCUCGUGGCUUCUGGAGUCUUCUAGAUGUAAGAUAAUUGCGCAGCACGUUAAUAUCUUUACGUAAUCCCGACAUGUGGGCCUUUCUUCCGUAUUUCCUGAUAACCCCCUGCAGAAAUAGACAAACACCAAAACUCGUGGAAUUCUGUCAGAUAAAACCCUAAGUCUGGAUGUUGAUUUCAUUUGGAUCCUUUUCUUUGUUUAUUUGAUAAUUAAAUUUGAUACUUAAGGACCGUCAACAAACUCCCCCAAGCUUACCUCUUGCUCGUCCCUGAGCAAGGAUAGACUCAGCUAUGGAUCAAAAGUUGUUGCAAUAUAUUUUUUUUAAAAAUUGACGGUACACAUGCUUUUUAAAUAAGAUCUCAUCUCUGAGUUAGAGUAAACUGUCAAGACUUAAAACUUACUUACUUUACCUUCACCAUGGGACUUGUAACUGUCACUUCUAUCUUGAGUGGUUAAAAGACAGAACAGUCUAGCCAAGUGCUAUGUCUCUUAUUCUUGAUCAGCUAUAGCUCUGGUGUUUUUGCAGAUUUUCAAAUAAAACUCAGAGAUUCCUUGUAUGAUUCUCUCAGGUCUCUCUUUUGUGGUAUUUCUGGAUCCUUACCAAGGCAGUGAUGGUAUAUGCCUUCUCUCAAGAUAUGUAGUAUUUGUGGUAUAAGGCAUAGUAACAUUGCCUUCUCUCUCAUCCUACUCUAAUAAGGCUUUAAUAUCUGGAGCUCAUAGGUGGGAGAUAAAGUAUACAUACUUACAAGACAUUUAUUGCAUAGUGAAACCAUGGAUCCAAAGAAACAAAUCAAUAAGCCAAAUCAAGAUGUGCAUGUGUGGAUGAAUGAUGUAUGGUGAUGAUAGUGAUAACAAUGAUGAAAACAAUGGUGGUGGAAGUCUAAUUCUACUUUUGCUCUUUUGAGAAGAUACAUACCUUCCUUGCUUUUGAAACUUUAUGAGGAGAAUGAGAUGCUCUUCUUUUUCUUUCCUCUCAGGUGGGUAUCUUGUACCCCUAAUUCUACUGU